UGGGGAUGACGUCAAGUCAUCAUGGCCCUUACGACCAGGGCUACACACGUGCUACAAUGGCAUAUACAAAGAGAAGCGACCUCGCGAGAGCAAGCGGACCUCAUAAAGUAUGUCGUAGUCCGGAUUGGAGUCUGCAACUCGACUCCAUGAAGUCGGAAUCGCUAGUAAUCGUAGAUCAGAAUGCUACGGUGAAUACGUUCCCGGGCCUUGUACACACCGCCCGUCACACCAUGGGAGUGGGUUGCAAAAGAAGUAGGUAGCUUAACCUUCGGGAGGGCGCUUACCACUUUGUGAUUCAUGACUGGGGUGAAGUCGUAACAAGGUAACCGUAGGGGAACCUGCGGUUGGAUCACCUCCUUACCUUAAAGAA
RNAcentral lists this ribosomal RNA (370 nucleotides) under Klebsiella pneumoniae. Its description in RNAcentral is "bacterial SSU rRNA". It matches the Rfam family "Bacterial small subunit ribosomal RNA", at positions 1174 to 1533 of the family's 1533-position model. Lineage: Bacteria; Pseudomonadati; Pseudomonadota; Gammaproteobacteria; Enterobacterales; Enterobacteriaceae. The record is from RNAcentral.